RNAcentral lists this non-coding RNA (103 nucleotides) under Escherichia coli. The record is from RNAcentral. Lineage: Bacteria; Pseudomonadati; Pseudomonadota; Gammaproteobacteria; Enterobacterales; Enterobacteriaceae.
AGAAUUUGGUUUCAGCGGUCUUGUACACCCUGUUACCAUGGUUCAGAAGUUCCCCAACUCACUGAACCCUCAAAAAAACCGCCUCCCCAGGCGGUUUUUUUGU